Molecule: long non-coding RNA, 231 nt
Organism: Sceloporus undulatus (fence lizard)
Lineage: Eukaryota; Metazoa; Chordata; Lepidosauria; Squamata; Phrynosomatidae
Exons: 2
Source: RefSeq, a predicted model, not a curated record
GGGUGCGCGCAUGCGCAAUUGGCUCUGAAAAGAACCUUGCUAUUGACUGCCUCUGCACUGUGGAAAUAAUCUGUUUUGACAUUACUUUAUCUGCCAUGGCUCCAGGAGGAGCAGCUAAUGCCCCAGAAGAGAAGAUAGCCUGAACUUGGAGAUAUCUGCGCUCCGCUUGGAAACGUCACAGGCUUGGACCAUUUGUCUUUUGCUCCGUAGAUAAAACACCGUUUCUCAAUA